UGACACUUGAUAGCAAGAAGGC
Molecule: unclassified non-coding RNA, 22 nt
Filed under: Mus musculus (house mouse)
Lineage: Eukaryota; Metazoa; Chordata; Mammalia; Rodentia; Muridae
Description: oocyte_clustered_small_RNA11629
Source: RNAcentral